ACUCUUCAACCCACCAGUUUCUAGUAGACUGCGUUGGUGUUUGGAUUUUGAGCGUUGCUAGUCUGACUAGCUCGUUCGUAAUAUAUUAGCAUCUCUAAUUCGAAUUCGGAUUGACUCAGUGUAAUAGACUAUUCGCUGAGGACACUUUUAUUAGUGGCCGUACUAGAACCAGUAGAAGCUUCCAACUAUUGUAGUCAACUUUAA
This 204-nucleotide unclassified non-coding RNA is filed under the name Phenoliferia psychrophila. RNAcentral's name for it is "partial internal transcribed spacer 2". The record is from RNAcentral. Lineage: Eukaryota; Fungi; Basidiomycota; Microbotryomycetes; Kriegeriales; Kriegeriaceae.